AUUGAACGCUGGCGGCAUGCUUUACACAUGCAAGUCGAGCGGCAGCGCGGGGGCAACCCUGGCGGCGAGCGGCGAACGGGUGAGUAAUACAUCGGAACGUGUCCCGUAGUGGGGGAUAGCCCCGGCGAAAGCCGGAUUAAUACCGCAUAUGCUCUACGGAGGAAAGCGGGGGACCGUAAGGCCUCGCGCUAUGGGAGCGGCCGAUGUCCGAUUAGCUUGUUGGCGGGGUAAAGGCCCACCAAGGCGACGAUCGGUAGCUGGUCUGAGAGG
RNAcentral lists this ribosomal RNA (270 nucleotides) under uncultured bacterium. RNAcentral's name for it is "partial 16S ribosomal RNA". It matches the Rfam family "Bacterial small subunit ribosomal RNA", at positions 28 to 299 of the family's 1533-position model. The record is from RNAcentral.